Molecule: long non-coding RNA, 670 nt
Filed under: Triticum aestivum (bread wheat)
Lineage: Eukaryota; Viridiplantae; Streptophyta; Magnoliopsida; Poales; Poaceae
Description: long non-coding RNA (TAES_LNC020695)
Source: RNAcentral
CACCCGAGCACCUCUCCGUGUGCCGUCAUGUUUACAUCUUGAAUAUUUUUCUUGAUUCAGUAUAAAAAACUGGUUUAACUCAUUCUUUUGUGUUGACAUACACUGACAUUAAGGAUUGAACUCGCGAUGGUAAUGAUGAGUCUGCAAGGUCAAGGUCAUAUGGUCUAACUAUCAAAUCACAGAAAGGAGAGGAGAAGCUGAGCUCCGCCCUUUUUCUGUCCAGGAGAGAAGGUUAUUUUUUUCUUUUUGAUUGAAACCUGCACCUUGUAUUGGGUUUGGAGGAAAUUGUUCUCUGCGUCUAUAGUUGUUGUAUCAUAGUACUCCGUAGUGUACUGCUAGUACCAUGGCAUACCAAUUGUUUGGAUAGAUCAAAAGGAAAGCUAACGGUCAAUUAGAUAAAUGCUACUGUACUCCCACAUCUUACAUCUCAUUUACUACCUUGUAUCGGCAUUACUUGAAACACAUUUAUGCAGUCACACAUCUCACCUUGAUUUUUCUUCUUCCGAAUUUUGCUUGUAUUGGAACUAUAUACAUCAUUGUCUAACUUGUUAUGCUCGCUGGUUGAAUUUUCAGCAUUUGAAUCGUCCUCAAAGGAGAAACAGGGCAUUAGCUAGUACCAUAAAUGACAAGAUAGCUUGGCCAUGACUCUAUCAACUUGCCUAGGUCCAAG